AGAGUUUGAUCCUGGCUCAGAUUGAACGCUGGCGGCAUGGCUAAAACAUGCAAGUCGAACGAUGAAAGCUUCUUCGGAAGUGUAUGAAGUGGCGUAAGGGCGAGGAAUAUAUUUCUAUGUACCCCAAAGUCAAGGAUAGCCCAGGGAAACUUGGUGUAAUACUUGAUGUGGUCUCCGGAUCAAAGAUUUAUCGCUUUGGGAGCAGGGAAUAUCCUAUCAGGUUGUUGGUGAGGUAACGGCUCACCAAGCCAAAGACGGGUAGCGGGUGUGAGAGCAUGACCCGCCGCAUCGGGACUGAGACACUGCCCGGACUCCUACGGGAGGCUGCAGUAACGAAUAUUCCGCAAUGAGCGAAAGCUUGACGGAGCAAUGCCGCGUGUAGGAUGAAUCUCCUCGGAGUGUAAACUACUGUCAGAGACUAGGAACUCAAUGACCAAUCUCAAAGGAAGGGCCGGCUAACUUCGUGCCAGCAGCCGCGGUAAUACGAAGGGCCCGAGCGUUAUUCGGAAUCACUGGGCUUAAAGCGUGCGUAGGCGGACUUGUAGGCGUUUUGUGAAAUCCCUCGGCUCAACCGAGGAACUGCAGAGCGAACCCCAAGUCUUGAGACAGAUAGAGGUUGUCGGAACGAUUGGUGGAGUGGUGAAAUGCGUUGAUAUCAAUCGGAACGCCAAAUGAGAAGUCAGGCAACUGGAUCUGUUCUGACGCUGAGGCACGAAAGCGUGGGUAGCGAACGGGAUUAGAUACCCCGGUAGUCCACGCCGUAAACAAUGUGCACUAGGUCGAGGGCGUUCUGACGCGACUCUCGGCCGAAGCGAAAGUGUUAAGUACACCGCCUGGGGAGUACGGUCGCAAGGCUAAAACUCAAAGGAAUUGACGGGGGCUCACACAAGCGGUGGAGCAUGUGGCUUAAUUCGAAGCAACGAGAAGAACCUUAUCCUAGGUUUGACAUACACGGAUUAGCUAUAAGAAACUAUAGUGACACCUUCGGGUGGAACGUGAACAGGUGCUGCAUGGCUGUCGUCAGCUCGUGCUGUGAAGUGUCGGGUUAAGUCCCUUAACGAGCG
Molecule: ribosomal RNA, 1064 nt
Filed under: marine metagenome
Description: bacterial SSU rRNA
Rfam family: Bacterial small subunit ribosomal RNA
Source: RNAcentral